Chelonoidis abingdonii (Abingdon island giant tortoise) is the source of this 621-nucleotide long non-coding RNA. RefSeq lists it as uncharacterized. The record is from RefSeq and is a predicted model, not a curated record. NCBI's taxonomy places the organism in Eukaryota, Metazoa, Chordata, Testudines, Testudinidae.
CCUUUUAAAAAAAAAAAGCUUAGUCUCAAGAGGCCUAAAUAAUCACGAACUGCAUCUGCUGUUUCAAACAGAGUUGUGUAUUAUGCUGCGUGGAGCCCCCUUCUUCCUAUGACCUGUCAUAAUAAGAGCUGAGCAUUGAGAACCAGGCUGUUCUUAAUAAGACAAAAAAAAAAAGUAAGUCAACUACAGUAUCUUUGGUCUGGUCUUGCAAUCAACAUGCCUGUGUAAAUGGAGCAAUUUCACCUUCAGAAACAGUGUCCUAGUACCAGCAUGUUCAAGCAGCUGACUCAACCUUGUGUGAAAGCAUCUAGCAGCCUGGCUUGUGGAAUACAUAGGCUGCCUCAAUGUUCUUUUGUUACUCCUGUGUAGCUGUUUUCGAUACUGGCAUCAGCUCAUUUCAAUUUUCAAACUGACAACUUCAAGUAUUUUUCUUUACUUGGUAUUUAAAAUUAGAUAAGGAAACAUAGUUUUCCAAGAUAGUUUACUAUCUUUCAGUUUCAGAGCAUAUUUUCAGUAAUAGUGAGGUAAACAAAAGACCUUUUUUACAGUCUUUCAAUAUUAAUAUGAUAGGAAAAAAGGAUACAUUGUUUUCCCAUUAUAGAUGACAUUUUAGUAACAUUA